This 664-nucleotide unclassified non-coding RNA is filed under the name Hevea brasiliensis (rubber tree). Lineage: Eukaryota; Viridiplantae; Streptophyta; Magnoliopsida; Malpighiales; Euphorbiaceae. The record is from RNAcentral.
UCAUCACACUUAAAGCUAAAACCAUAAUUGGGAAGUGUACCCACCCUGAGAGGUUUGGCCUCUUCUGAAGUGGGACUUAAAGGAGUUUGUGACUCCCCUUCAGCUUUAAUGUUAGGUCCUUUCUUCAAAGCUUUCACUUUUGUCCUCUCCAUGAGGCCUUCAGAGGAUGCCACAUCAGACUUCCCAGAAUGCUGCUUCUCAUUGAAUGAUUUACUUGUCAAGGGCUGCUUUGACUGUGAAUUUGAUGAAAGUAAACCAUUUGAAACAGUAGGAGGUGCCCUGGCAACUUUUCCAUCCUUGCUCUUCUUAGUCUGAGUGGCUGAGACAUUUUUUGUGUUUGAUGGCUUUUCGCUCUUGCCCUUUCCAGGACCCUUCAGUGAUUUGACAUGCUCUGAAUGUUCAGCAUCUUUUAUUUCCCCUUCCUUAGAACCAGUGAAUCCAUUGCUUCCCACAUGUACAUUUGACUCUUCCCUGGACUCGCCAGCAGAUGAAAUAUGAAUAGUUAAGUCCUCCAACUUAGAUGCAUUGUCUAAAUUUUCAUCUGGCCCUGUAGAGACUGCAAUUUUCCCAAUAGUCCCAUUUACAUUAUUUGAAACAACACCAUCCCCAGAGGCAGGAAUUUGCUCAUGAACACCAUUUUGAUAGCCAGUUUCAAGCCCAUCGA